CAAGGUUAAAAACAUGUUUUUUGGAGAACUUUAAUUUUCAGCUAGGUGUUUGCAGCUGUGCUAUUUGGAGUCUCAUCUGAGAUUUUAAAACCAGUCAAUUAGCAAUCCCAAAAAAAGAGAUGAGGAUUGGCAUAUUGCUUAUGAUAUCUUAUCUUGUUAACACUACAGCUAGCAGUGGGCCAGAGCUCUUGGUUUUGCAAUACCCCGAAGAUGCCAGUGUGCUCCUUAACUCCACUGUGUGGAUGCUAUGUGUCUUUGAAUACCCCAAGGAGGAGAAUGAGGAGCCAGUUGUGUACUGGAGGAAGGGCCCCAGCUGUGACAACCAGCAGAGUCUUCGGUCAAGUUCAGGAGCAGGAAGGCCACAUGUACACAUUACCAAGGACAUAUUCAGGGGAUUCUCUAUCUUAAAACUGAGCAAUGUUGACAAGAAUGACAGCAACUCAUAUUUCUGUGACGUGAUACUAACCCAGAAAACCCAUGGCAAAUGUGGAAACGGAACCAAGCUGACAGUGCACGGUAAGAGAUUUCACGUGCAAAAACUGUGUAAGAUCAGAACCCACCUGGUGGUGUUGGUUCCUUCUUCUCGGAUACACUCUCUUUGUCACCACAGUUAUCAUAGCUUUUGGUUCUGCUUCCUCAAAUUGGUGGCUGAGGAUGAUCAAGUGGCUCGGAGUCAACCAGGAUGACUGGCCACAGCUGACCAAAGGGGAUAUUACGCCACAUAACAUUGUGUUCAUCAAGAGAAUCAGGGGUAGAGGAAGAACAAAGGGUUUUUGUUGGCUAAAAAGAUGACCGUUGCUCUCUGACUGGCUUUGCAUUGGUCAGCUGGAGGGAGGUGAUUCAUCACUGCUGUAAAAAGUGGAAGAAUGAUUCAAGAAAUACAGAUAGCAGCACUACCCUGCCAAGUGAAUGGAUUUAUGAGAAGCCACCCAAACCCGUUAAUAAUGGGUCUAACCAAGAAUAUGAAGAUAUGUCACUAAUAAGAACUUUCAGUCACAUUGAAAGGAAAGUGAUAUGAAAAACAAGCUCACAGUUGUAACUGUAAUGCUAUGAGAACGUGAAUGAUGUGUACUACUUCAGGAUACAGAAGAAACAUACACACAAGUCAUUUUGUGAACUUGGAAUCUUCUUUGUUCAAGAUGUUUUCAUCUAUUCAUGUAUUUACUUCAAAACUAACGAAAUCAAUUCUCUAUGCAGCUACAAAUGCAAUGAUAUUUAGAGUGCACAGCUACCACAAAAAAAGUGAUAGAGCUAUUAAUAUAUUAAUAUUUCAAUGCAAGAAAGCUGAUCAUGUAUGCUGAUAUAUUUCUUUUUCCAUUUCAAACUCAAGGACAUGUAGAAUUUUGUUUUUAUCUGAGUUAAGACAGCUUCUUUGCUUCAUCAAAGCAACAGCAAAUUCUGUACUACAGUACCUGUCUGUUGCUGAGAUAAAUUUAAAAGAAAGAUUUUGUCAUAGAGGAGUUUCUCCUGAUGUACUGCCUGACCUUACUUCCAGCUCCUUAUCCUGCCCUCAUAUUUAUACAUCCCUGCAACUACUUCUACUUUUGGCUGUGUAGCCAGCUAUGCUACUGAUAUAGUGCACAUUUGUACAUGCCUCUCUCAAAAGAAUGAAAAUACUGAAUAUGUUUUUAAUAGUUACAAUUUCUGAAGAAAACAUAAUAAUUACUGAUGAAGAGCUUGACUUUGUUGUUCUCCUGGCAUAUCUAACACAGUGUAAGCUAUUUGGAUUAAAAAUAUCUUUAAAAGUUGUUUUAAAGUACUUAGGAUGCUUUUAGAGUCCAUGUAGCAACAAUAGAAUUAAACUUCAUAGAAAGAGCUUACCAUAAUUUGCAUAAUAAUUAAGUGCUCAGAGAAAGUUGUGCCUUGGAAUAGUUAUGUACAUGUGACUUGAGAGAAGUUAACACUUUAACAAACUCUAUUUGAGUUAUUGAAUUUUUCUUUUUUCCACAAAUGAUUAAAUAUUACAAGCUGAGUACUGUGUAUCAAGAUUUGGUUUUUUUAACACUGAAAAUAUAAUUAUGAAAGGAAAAUGUUCAUAGGCUAAAAUGCCAGAGAUUACAGCCUUAUACACUAUGAAUAUAAAACAAAGAGUAAGCUCUUUUUUACUCAAGGGGGCAAUAAGUCAUAGUUAAUAUUCAAGACUGUACGUUAUGAUGUGGAUGCACACUGCUAGUGAAGUUCAGCUUUAUCAGUAGAGCUUUAUCAGUAAAGCAUUAUCAGUACUGCAUUCUUCUAAAAUAUUUGCCUGUUCUGCAAGUAAAAAUACUAAUUAAAACAGUUUUAAAAACUGAUAUUUGACUCGUUUUCUUGAAAGUACUUCUGAUUCACUUAGAGACAGUUAAGUAUUACUUCCAGGACAGACAAACAAUGCUUGUGCAUUUGGAGAGGUUGAGAGCAGUCAUGAAGUCAUGAAAAAAUAAAACAAUUUUCUUAAAUUUGAUAGCAGGAACUAAAUAAUGGUCUCCCUCACUCUCCUCUACUCAAACUGGGUUCUGAGUGCAUCUUCAGUCAUAGAUAUUCAGGUUUCCAGAUUCGGAAAUUUAAACUCUAAUUUGGGAUGAAAAUAUGUAAAUUUCCAGAGAAACUAGCUUCUCAGAUGCACCUCAGACUUCCUAUUUUAAAAAUCUUUAAAAAAAAAAAAAAAUUGUUGAUUAUAAAA
Molecule: RNA transcript, 2659 nt
Organism: Centrocercus urophasianus (Greater sage-grouse)
Lineage: Eukaryota; Metazoa; Chordata; Aves; Galliformes; Phasianidae
Exons: 5
Source: RefSeq, a predicted model, not a curated record